CAGCUCCAAUAGCGUAUAUUAAAGUUGUUGCAGUUAAAAAGCUCGUAGUUGGAUCUAGGGACGCGCAUUUCAAGCGCCCGUGCCGUCGGGUCAAACCGGCGGCUGCGUUGGCGUUGCGGGCUCGGUCCGUCGGUGCCCCACAAAGGGCUAUCGGCGUGUCAACCGGCCCGCCCGUCCCCUCCUUCUGGAUUCCCGUUCCUGCUAUUGAGUUAGUGGGGACGUCACAGGGGGCUCAUCGUCGUCGUGCAAACGGCGGCGGUGGGUCCCUGGGGCCCAGAUCGUUUACCGUGAAAAAAUUAGAGUGUUCAAAGCAGGCAGAUCCAAUUUUCUGCCACCGAAUACAUUAGCAUGGGAUAAUGGAAUAGGACCCUGUCCUCCUAUUUUCAGUUGGUUUUGGCAGCGCGAGGACUAGGGUAAUGAUUAAUAGGGAUAGUUGGGGGCAUUAAUAUUUAAUUGUCAGAGGUGAAAUUCUUGGAUUUAUGAAAGAUUAACUUCUGCGAAAGCAUCUGCCAAGGAUGUUUUCAUUAAUCAAGAACGAAAGUUAGGGGAUCGAAGACGAUCAGAUACCGUCGUAGUCUUAACCAUAAACGAUGCCGACCAGCGAUUAGGAGACGUUGAAUACAAAACACCACCAUCGGUGCGGUCGUCCUUGGCGUCGGUCUUUCGGGGCCGGCGCGGGGACGGCUUAGCCCGGUGGCACCGGUGAA
This 707-nucleotide ribosomal RNA is filed under the name Acanthamoeba sp. AcL-PM13. RNAcentral's name for it is "SSU rRNA". It matches the Rfam family "Eukaryotic small subunit ribosomal RNA", at positions 586 to 1096 of the family's 1831-position model. The record is from RNAcentral. Lineage: Eukaryota; Discosea; Longamoebia; Acanthamoebidae.